RNAcentral lists this ribosomal RNA (605 nucleotides) under uncultured eukaryote. Its description in RNAcentral is "SSU rRNA". It matches the Rfam family "Eukaryotic small subunit ribosomal RNA", at positions 1189 to 1803 of the family's 1831-position model. The record is from RNAcentral.
CUUAAUUUGACUCAACACGGGAAACCUCACCCGGCCCGGACACGGACAGGAUUGACAGAUUGAUAGCUCUUUCUCGAUUCCGUGGGUGGUGGUGCAUGGCCGUUCUUAGUUGGUGGAGCGAUUUGUCUGGUUAAUUCCGAUAACGAACGAGACUCUGGCAUGCUAACUAGUUACGCGACCCCCGAGCGGUCGGCGUCCCCCAACUUCUUAGAGGGACAAGUGGCGUUCAGCCACCCGAGAUUGAGCAAUAACAGGUCUGUGAUGCCCUUAGAUGUCCGGGGCUGCACGCGCGCUACACUGACUGGCUCAGCGUGUGCCUACCCUACGCCGGCAGGCGCGGGUAACCCGUUGAACCCCAUUCGUGAUGGGGAUCGGGGAUUGCAAUUAUUCCCCAUGAACGAGGAAUUCCCAGUAAGUGCGGGUCAUAAGCUUGCGUUGAUUAAGUCCCUGCCCUUUGUACACACCGCCCGUCGCUACUACCGAUUGGAUGGUUUAGUGAGGCCCUCGGAUCGGCCCCGCCGGGGUCGGCCCACGGCCCUGGCGGAGCGCUGAGAAGACGGUCGAACUUGACUAUCUAGAGGAAGUAAAAGUCGUAACAAGGUAUC